RNAcentral lists this ribosomal RNA (1368 nucleotides) under uncultured bacterium. Its description in RNAcentral is "bacterial SSU rRNA". It matches the Rfam family "Bacterial small subunit ribosomal RNA". The record is from RNAcentral.
GAGUUUGAUCCUGGCUCAGGACGAACGCUGGCGGCGCGCCUAACACAUGCAAGUCGAACGAGCGAGAGAGAGCUUGCUUUCUCAAGCGAGUGGCGAACGGGUGAGUAACGCGUGAGGAACCUGCCUCAAAGAGGGGGACAACAGUUGGAAACGACUGCUAAUACCGCAUAAGCCCACAGCUCGGCAUCGAGCAGAGGGAAAAGGAGCAAUCCGCUUUGAGAUGGCCUCGCGUCCGAUUAGCUAGUUGGUGAGGUAACGGCCCACCAAGGCGACGAUCGGUAGCCGGACUGAGAGGUUGAACGGCCACAUUGGGACUGAGACACGGCCCAGACUCCUACGGGAGGCAGCAGUGGGGAAUAUUGCACAAUGGGGGAAACCCUGAUGCAGCGACGCCGCGUGGAGGAAGAAGGUCUUCGGAUUGUAAACUCCUGUUGUUGAGGAAGAUAAUGACGGUACUCAACAAGGAAGUGACGGCUAACUACGUGCCAGCAGCCGCGGUAAAACGUAGGUCACAAGCGUUGUCCGGAAUUACUGGGUGUAAAGGGAGCGCAGGCGGGAAGACAAGUUGGAAGUGAAAUCUAUGGGCUCAACCCAUAAACUGCUUUCAAAACUGUUUUUCUUGAGUAGUGCAGAGGUAGGCGGAAUUCCCGGUGUAGCGGUGGAAUGCGUAGAUAUCGGGAGGAACACCAGUGGCGAAGGCGGCCUACUGGGCACCAACUGACGCUGAGGCUCGAAAGUGUGGGUAGCAAACAGGAUUAGAUACCCUGGUAGUCCACACCGUAAACGAUGAUUACUAGGUGUUGGAGGAUUGACCCCUUCAGUGCCGCAGUUAACACAAUAAGUAAUCCACCUGGGGAGUACGACCGCAAGGUUGAAACUCAAAGGAAUUGACGGGGGCCCGCACAAGCAGUGGAGUAUGUGGUUUAAUUCGACGCAACGCGAAGAACCUUACCAAGUCUUGACAUCCCUUGACGAUGCUGGAAACAGUAUUUCUCUUCGGAGCAAGGAGACAGGUGGUGCAUGGUUGUCGUCAGCUCGUGUCGUGAGAUGUUGGGUUAAGUCCCGCAACGAGCGCAACCCUUACUGUCAGUUACUACGCAAGAGGACUCUGGCAGGACUGCCGUUGACAAAACGGAGGAAGGUGGGGAUGACGUCAAAUCAUCAUGCCCUUUAUGACUUGGGCUACGCACGUACUACAAUGGCGUUAAACAAAGAGAAGCAAGACCGCGAGGUGGAGCAAAACUCAGAAACAACGUCCCAGUUCGGACUGCAGGCUGCAACUCGCCUGCACGAAGUCGGAAUUGCUAGUAAUCGUGGAUCAGCAUGCCACGGUGAAUACGUUCCCGGGCCUUGUACACACCGCCCGUC